RNAcentral lists this ribosomal RNA (497 nucleotides) under uncultured bacterium. RNAcentral describes it as "partial 16S ribosomal RNA". It matches the Rfam family "Bacterial small subunit ribosomal RNA", at positions 28 to 507 of the family's 1533-position model. The record is from RNAcentral.
GAUGAACGCUGGCGGCGUGCCUAAUACAUGCAAGUCGAGCGAACGGACGAGAAGCUUGCUUCUCUGAUGUUAGCGGCGGACGGGUGAGUAACACGUGGAUAACCUACCUAUAAGACUGGGAUAACUUCGGGAAACCGGAGCUAAUACCGGAUAAUAUUUUGAACCGCAUGGUUCAAAAGUGAAAGACGGUCUUGCUGUCACUUAUAGAUGGAUCCGCGCUGCAUUAGCUAGUUGGUAAGGUAACGGCUUACCAAGGCAACGAUGCAUAGCCGACCUGAGAGGGAGGUUGGCCAGCUGGGAAGUGAGACAGGGUCCAGACACUUAGGGGAGGAAGCAGUAGGGAAUCUUCCGCAAUGGGGGAAAGCCUGACGGAGCAACGCCGCGUGAGUGAUGAAGGUCUUCGGAUCGUAAAACUCUGUUAUUAGGGAAGAACAUAUGUGUAAGUAACUGUGCACAUCUUGACGGUACCUAAUGAAAAAGCCACGGCUAACUACGUG